Long non-coding RNA from Haliotis rufescens (red abalone), 2042 nucleotides. RefSeq lists it as uncharacterized. The record is from RefSeq and is a predicted model, not a curated record. NCBI's taxonomy places the organism in Eukaryota, Metazoa, Mollusca, Gastropoda, Lepetellida, Haliotidae. The transcript is spliced from 7 exons.
UUGAAACCAAAAUGCACCCACGUGCCGACCAUGCGAUAGGAACCCAGCUGGGAAUAAACAUUUCCCCCAUUCCACGACCAAUAGUCAUACAUGCGGCUGACCAGGAGGCCCUUGACUCGGAUGUGCACAAUGAUUCACCAGUCAAGAAAUUCAAGGUACAGACACAUGAAGGAAAAGUUUCAACCUAGCGCGGGUAAACGGCGGGAGUAACCACGACUCUAGAGAUAGACCCAGUACAUCCGUCCAAGUUAUAAAACGAAUCGUGAUGGGCAUAUGUAGACCGCAAGACAAAAUAGCGCCAACAGUCCCACCCGGUAUAGACAGGGGUACAAUGUGCCAUGAAGUUCCAAGCCAGAUACAAACACCUUCCCAUUCAGGAAGAGAGGUCGGACGACAAUGGAAAGAAAGGUCAAAGAAUGGUGCUUGGGGACUCGCUAUGCAGGGGGAUUGCGGGCGAUAUACCCAACUGCUCAGUAAUAAGCAAACCAGGAGCUAACCUGAAGCGAAUGCAAAAAAUAAUAACCAAUUUAAAUGUAAAGACUUAUCACUCUAUUGUGUUACAUGUAGGGACAAAUGACAUUUCUUCCUUUAAUCCACAUCGAUUUCUCUCUGAAUAUAUGACACUAAUUAAAUACUUAAAAUCGAUGAACCCUGAUGCCGUUAUAAUGUGUUGUGACAUUAUUCCACGCAUCAGGGAUUUCAGCACAACACAGAGGGUUGUAAUCCAUGCGAACAAUAUCAUAAGGCAUGUGUGCACUGUUCUCAGAUGUAAAAAUGUGCGAACAUCCAAAAGAUUUUUAUAUUUGGGAACAAGUGGACCAAGGCACUAUCUAUAUUGUUCGGACGGAUUACACCUGAAUGAUAAAGGAAAGUAUCAGCUGAAAAGGUCAUUUGCCCAAGCCCUAUCACAUGCCCAUCAGUAAAGAUUUGCUUUUGUCCUAGUCAUCCCAUUUAGAACUGUUUAAAAGAAUGAAUAUAUUCACUAGUUUAUAAGAAAUUUGAAAAAUAGUUUUCUGCUGAUAUUUCCAUUUAUUUCUUUAUUUAUUUUAGCUUAUGUCGUAAUUUAUAGGAUUUUUAUGCUUUUCAAAAUAUGGUCAGAAUAACACUCUUAUAGUCCCUACCUACAUUUAUUUAAUGCUUAUGGUAACAAUCUUGUUCGUAGUAAAUUGAGCUCUGUAUUCUGAUGAACUUAGACACUAUUUAUUCUCGCAGUUAUUGUAGUAUGUGUCUUUGCAAUUCUUAGUUACUGUUUUCUGAUUAAUUGUAACCAAUAGUCAUGCCCGGUAAAGUGAAUGUUGUGAUAACUAAUUUCCCUUCCCUUCUCAGGACAUUUUAGACCUAUCCAUAUUAUGUUGUUUUGGAUUGUACUAUGCAUAAACCAAAAAGUAUAACAUUUAAAAAUCGUGUAGAAAUCAUUGCAGACCUUACGCAGCAAAUUGUUAUGUGAACUGUAACGUAUGUUAUAUUUGGGAUUACACUGUCUUAUUAAAGUACACAUUCUGAUACUUUUUAGGGUCCCCAUGUCAUUUGUCCCUACUUGCACUUUCGUUAUGUGAAAUGUCCAGUAAUACUGAUUUAAAAAUAAUAAACUUUCCUCUUAUUUUAGUUAGUUUCCAUAUUCCAAUGCUAAAAAGUAUUUGAUUAUACAUUUCUGUUUUUCUUCCAACUUUUCCGAUAUAAACAAACGAUCUAAUCUUUCAUUUUGGACUAGUUUAUCUCCAUGAAUACUAGUAACUUCUUCUUGUCAUAUUGGUGUAUCGCCAAUCACGUAUCUAUUAAACGAUGUUGUUCAUAUUCCCUUUUUGUUUUAUUUACUUUUUUUGUGGUUAAAGCUGAUUCAUCUGCAGCAUUCAUCUCGCCACACAAGCAUAAGUAAUCUGUCUCAAACCGAGAAAGAUUAUUGAAAAAGCAUAGACUAUCUGAAUUUGGACCAUAUGGGAAAAUCAAAGAGAGCGAUAUAUGUAAACAAAAAGUAGAAACAUUAAAAGCCAUAACAAAUCGUUAAAAAUCAGUCUGCGAUAGCCUCGAAAGGUAGAUACUUA